Molecule: ribosomal RNA, 492 nt
Filed under: uncultured bacterium
Lineage: Bacteria
Description: partial 16S ribosomal RNA
Rfam family: Bacterial small subunit ribosomal RNA
Source: RNAcentral
AGUGAACGCUGGCGGUAUGCCUAACACAUGCAAGUCGAACGGCAGCACAGUAAGAUCGUGCUCUUACGGGUUGCGAGUGGCGGACGUGUGAGGAAUACAUCGUAAUCUACUUUUUCGUGGGGGUUAACGUAGGUGAGGUUACUCUAAUACAGCAUACGACCUACGGGGGAGAGCAUGGGAUCUUCGGACCUUGCGCGAUGGAAUGAGCCGAUGUCGGAUUGGCUAGUGGGCGGGGUAAUGGCCCACUAAGGCGACGAUCCGUAGCUGGGCUGGGAGGAGGAUAGGCGACAUUGGAACUGGGACACGGUCAAGACUACUAAGGGAGGGAGCAGUGGGGAAUAUUGGACAAUAGGCGCAAGCAUGAUACAGCCAUCCCGCGUGUGUGACAAAGGCCUUCGGUUUGUAAAGCCCUUUUGUUGGGAAAGAACCGCAGCAGGUUAAUACCAAGCUGUUGUGACGGUACCCAAAGAAUAAGCACCGGCUAACUUCGUG